RNAcentral lists this long non-coding RNA (217 nucleotides) under Lathyrus oleraceus (garden pea). RNAcentral describes it as "Pisum sativum (pea) long non-coding RNA (PSAT_LNC018056)". Lineage: Eukaryota; Viridiplantae; Streptophyta; Magnoliopsida; Fabales; Fabaceae. The record is from RNAcentral.
UCAAAUUCACCACACACAAUACGUAAGACAAUUGCUAUGGUAAGACAUAAUUAAGACACAAUACGUAGAAAUAAAACCAAACCAAACCAAACCAAAUCAAUGCGGUUUGGAUUGGUUCGGUUGGUUCGGUUUUUUAUAAUAUUUUUAUUUAGCCAUACAUACACCUAUAGAGAACAACGUAACUUUGUGUUUAGCCAUUCAUACAUUAGUAAAUAAC